RNAcentral lists this transfer RNA (72 nucleotides) under Kalmanozyma brasiliensis GHG001. RNAcentral's name for it is "tRNA-Pro (CGG) (tRNA-Pro-CGG-1-1)". It matches the Rfam family "tRNA". From Rfam's summary of the family: Transfer RNA (tRNA) molecules are approximately 80 nucleotides in length. Their secondary structure includes four short double-helical elements and three loops (D, anti-codon, and T loops). Further hydrogen bonds mediate the characteristic L-shaped molecular structure. tRNAs have two regions of fundamental functional importance: the anti-codon, which is responsible for specific mRNA codon recognition, and the 3' end, to which the tRNAs corresponding amino acid is attached (by aminoacyl-tRNA synthetases). tRNAs cope with the degeneracy of the genetic code in two manners: having more than one tRNA (with a specific anti-codon) for a particular amino acid; and 'wobble' base-pairing, i.e. permitting non-standard base-pairing at the 3rd anti-codon position. The record is from RNAcentral. RNAcentral also lists the same sequence under 1 other name. Lineage: Eukaryota; Fungi; Basidiomycota; Ustilaginomycetes; Ustilaginales.
GGUUGCUUCGUCCAGUGGUAGGAUACCUCUUUCGGGUAGAGGUGGUCGCGAGUUCGAAUCCCGCAGUGACCC